GUAGGUGGCAAGCGUUGUCCGGAAUUAUUGGGCGUAAAGCGCGCGCAGGCGGUUCUUUAAGUCUGAUGUGAAAGCCCACGGCUCAACCGUGGAGGGCCAUUGGAAACUGGAGAACUUGAGUACAGAAGAGGAAAGCGGAAUUCCACGUGUAGCGGUGAAAUGCGUAGAGAUGUGGAGGAACACCAGUGGCGAAGGCGGCUUUCUGGUCUGUAACUGACGCUGAGGCGCGAAAGCGUGGGGAGCAAACAGGGAUUAGAUACCCUGGUAGUCCACGCCGUAAACGAUGAGUGCUAAGUGUUAGGGGGGUUUCCGCCCCCGUUAGUGCUGCAGCUAACGCAUUAAGCACUCCGCCUGGGGAGUACGGCCGCAAGGCUG
Molecule: ribosomal RNA, 375 nt
Filed under: uncultured organism
Description: partial 16S ribosomal RNA
Rfam family: Bacterial small subunit ribosomal RNA
Source: RNAcentral